AACGAACGCUGGCGGCAUGCCUAACACAUGCAAGUCGAACGAGACCUUCGGGUCUAGUGGCGCACGGGUGCGUAACGCGUGGGAACCUGCCCUUAGGUUCGGAAUAACUCCCCGAAAGGGGUGCUAAUACCGGAUAAUGUCUUCGGACCAAAGAUUUAUCGCCUUUGGAUGGGCCCGCGUUGGAUUCGCUAGUUGGUAGGGUAAAAGCCUACCAAGGCGACGAUCCAUAGCUGGUCUGAGAGGAUGAUCAGCCACACUGGGACUGAGACACGGCCCAGACUCCUACGGGAGGCAGCAGUGGGGAAUAUUGGACAAUGGGCGAAAGCCUGAUACAGCAAUGCCGCGUGAGUGAUGAAGGCCUUAGGGUUGUAAAGCUCUUUUACCCGGGAUGAUAAUGACAGUACCGGGAGAAUAAGCUCCGGCUAACUCCGUG
RNAcentral lists this ribosomal RNA (433 nucleotides) under uncultured bacterium. Its description in RNAcentral is "partial 16S ribosomal RNA". It matches the Rfam family "Bacterial small subunit ribosomal RNA", at positions 29 to 507 of the family's 1533-position model. The record is from RNAcentral.